UACACCUGUUCCCAUUCCGAACACAGAAGUUAAGCUCUCUAGCGCUGAUGGUACUUGGUGGGAAACUGCCUGGGAGAGUAGGACGUAGCCACGU
RNAcentral lists this ribosomal RNA (94 nucleotides) under Clostridioides difficile. Lineage: Bacteria; Bacillati; Bacillota; Clostridia; Peptostreptococcales; Peptostreptococcaceae. The record is from RNAcentral.